Molecule: ribosomal RNA, 1320 nt
Filed under: Triticum aestivum (bread wheat)
Lineage: Eukaryota; Viridiplantae; Streptophyta; Magnoliopsida; Poales; Poaceae
Description: partial small subunit ribosomal RNA
Source: RNAcentral
AUGGGCGUCUCAUCUCCUCACCAGACGCUUCCACGCCUCACGAAGAUCCUCACCUUGUCGCUCUACGCCAUCCUCCCUCUCGCCCUCCUCUUCUACCUCUCCCCUUCUCCCAUCGCCGCCCCACCCUCCACUUCCACCUCGCCGCCCCACGGUGAGAGGCAGCAGGUGGUGAAGAUCGCUACAGGGGCGCCGCCAGGAACCCAGGGGUCGAAACCGGCGCCGCAGUGCGACUACUCGGAGGGGGAAUGGAUUCCGAACGCGGCGGGGCCGCGGUACACCGGGACGAGCUGCGGCGCGACGAUCAAGCACGAGCAGAACUGCAUCGUGAACGGCCGGCCGGACACGGGGUACCUGAACUGGCGGUGGCGGCCGCGCGGGUGCGCGCUCCCGCCGUUCGCGCCCGCUGAGUUCCUGGAGCUGGUGCGCGGCCGGCACGUCGCGUUCGUAGGCGACUCGCUCGCGCGGAACCAGUGCGAGUCGCUGGUGUGCCUCCUCGGGUCGGAGUACCCCGUCGAGCUGGUCCUUGACGGCGGCGAGGAGCGCAAGUUCCGGCGGUGGGCGUUCCGGUCGCACAACGCGACGGUGUCGGUGUUCUGGUCGCCGUUCCUGGUGAAGGGCACGGAGAAGUCGUGGGCGCCGGGUGGGCUUGGCUACAACAGGCUGUACUUCGACCAGCCCGACGAGCGGUGGGCGGCGGAGCUCCCGGGCAUCGACGUGGUGGUGCUCUCCUUCGGGCAGUGGUUCCUGCAGUCGGCGAUGUACUACGAGCGCGGUGCGGUGAUCGGGUGCCACCACUGCCCGGAGCCGAACCGCACGGAGACGGGCUUCUUCGGCGUUUUCCGCCUCGCCGUCAAGAACGCCCUCCGCGAUGUCAUCGCCCGCUCCAGCGCCGGCCGGGAGAAGCUGGCAGUGCUGACUACGUUCUCGCCGGCGCACUUCGACGGGGAGUGGGACAGCCCGGACGCGUGCGCGCGCACGGAGCCGUACGCUCCGGGAGAGAAGGAGAUGUCGUACAUGCACAAAGAGAUGUGGCGGACGGGCGCGGAGGAGGCCACCGCGGCUGCCGUCGAGGCCAGGUCGCGCGGGUCCGCGGUGACGGUGGAGGCUCUGCAGGUGACGAGGCUCGCGGAUAUGCGCCCGGACGCUCACCCCGGCCCGUACUUCCAUCCCUUCCCGUUCGCCGGCGCCGGCGGCGAGAAGAAGAGGGAGCGGGUGCCGAACGACUGCGUGCACUCGUGCCUCCCCGGCCCCAUCGACACGUGGAACGAGAUCCUGCUGCAGAUGGUAAAGAGAUGGAGAGGUGCCUCCUCCUCCAGAUGA